CCUACGGGUGGCAGCAGUGGGGAAUAUUGCACAAUGGGGGAAACCCUGAUGCAGCGACGCCGCGUGAGUGAAGAAGUAUUUCGGUACGUAAAGCUCUAUCAGCAGGGAAGAAAAUGACGGUACCUGACUAAGAAGCCCCGGCUAACUACGUGCCAGCAGCCGCGGUAAUACGUAGGGGGCAAGCGUUAUCCGGAUUUACUGGGUGUAAAGGGAGCGUAGACGGCUGCACAAGUCUGGAGUGAAAUGCCGGGGCUUAACCCCGGAGCUGCUUUGGAAACUGUGGAACUAGAGUGCAGGAGAGGUGAGUGGAAUUCAUAGUGUAGCGGUGAAAUGCGUAGAUAUUAGGAGGAACACCAGUGGCGAAGGCGGCUUACUGGACUGUAACUGACGUUGAGGCUCGAAAGCGUGGGGAGCAAACAGGAGUAGAUACCCUAGUAGUC
Molecule: ribosomal RNA, 440 nt
Filed under: uncultured bacterium
Lineage: Bacteria
Description: partial 16S ribosomal RNA
Rfam family: Bacterial small subunit ribosomal RNA
Source: RNAcentral